Molecule: ribosomal RNA, 2757 nt
Rfam family: Bacterial large subunit ribosomal RNA
AGCGUGCACGGUGGAUGCCUUGGCAGUCAGAGGCGAUGAAGGACGUGGUAAUCUGCGAUAAGCGUUGGUAAGCCGAUAAACAGGCUGUGACCCAGCGAUUUCCGAAUGGGGAAACCCACUCACAUAAGUGAGUAUUCCAGUGCUGAAUACAUAGGCGCUGGGAGGCGAACCCGGGGAACUGAAACAUCUAAGUACCCGGAGGAAAAGAAAUCAAUUGAGAUUCCCCUAGUAGCGGCGAGCGAACGGGGAUUAGCCCUUAAGUUUAUUAUGGUUUAGCGGAACGCUCUGGAAAGUGCGGCAACAAAGGGUGAUAGCCCCGUACGCGAAAGGCCAUUUUAAGUGAAAUCGAGUAGGUCGGGACACGAGAAAUCUUGACUGAACCGUCUUCGGACAAGGGGGGACCAUCCUCCAAGGCUAAAUACUACUUACUGACCGAUAGUGAACAAGUACCGUGAGGGAAAGGCGAAAAGAACCCCGUUGAGGGGAGUGAAAUAGACCCUGAAACCGUGUACGUACAAGCAGUGGGAGCAGACUUGUUCUGUGACUGCGUACCUUUUGUAUAAUGGGUCAGCGACUUACAUUCUGUGGCAAGGUUAACCGCAUAGGGUAGCCGUAGGGAAACCGAGUCUUAAUAGGGCGAACAUAGUCGCAGGGUGUAGACCCGAAACCGGGCGAUCUAGCCAUGAGCAGGUUGAAGACCAGGUAACACUGGUUGGAGGACCGAACCCACCGUCUUUGAAAAGCCGGGGGAUGACUUGUGGCUAGGAGUGAAAGGCUAAUCAAGCCCGGAGAUAGCUGGUUCUCCUCGAAAGCUAUUUAGGUAGCGCCUCGUGUCUCACCAUUGGGGGUAGAGCACUGUUUGGGCUAGGGGGUCAUCCCGACUUACCAACCCCAUGCAAACUCCGAAUACCAAUGAGUGCAAUCACGGGAGACACACGGCGGGUGCUAACGUCCGUCGUGGAAAGGGAAACAACCCAGACCGUCAGCUAAGGUCCCAAAGUAAUAGUUAAGUGGGAAACGAUGUGAGAAGGCCCAGACAGCCAGGAGGUUGGCUUAGAAGCAGCCAUUCCUUUAAAAAGUGCGUAAUAGCUUACUAGUCUAGUUAUUUUGCGUCGAAAAUUCAACGGGGCUCAAGCAUAGUGCCGAAGAUGUGGAUUUAUCGUAAAAGAUAAAUGGUAGAGGAACGUUCCGUAAGUCUGUGAAGGAAAACUGAAAAGUUUUCUGGAGAUAUCGGAAGUGAGAAUGCCGGUAUGAGUAACGAAAAAACAGGAAAAAAACCUGUUCGCCGAAAACCUAAGGUUUUCUGGGUAAAGUUAAUCUGCUCAGAGUUAGUCGGCCCCUAAGGCAAUGCUGAAAAGCGUAGCCGAUGGGAAACUGGUUAAUAUUCCAGUACCUUUUUUUAGUGUGAAGGAGCGAAGCUAUUUUAAACGAUUUGCGUACAGAUGGUGAUACGUUUAAGUUCAAUCUGGGAAGAACUAAAAAUCUUCAAAAAGGAAAGAACAAAUAUGACAGGCUUUUAAAUGGGUCUGGAAAAAUCGUGAUAGAUGGUCGAGAAAAACUUCUAAGCGUAAUUAAAAAAAGACCGUACUAUAAACCGACACAGGUGGGUGGGGUGAGUAUCCUCAGGCGCUCGAGUGAAAUCUCGUUAAGGAACUCGGCAAAAUGCCUCCGUAUCUUAGGUAGAAGGAGGGCCUUAUCAAAAAGGUUGCAAAGAAAUGAUCCAGUCGACUGUUUAACAAAAACACAGGUCUGUGCAUAACAUGAAAAUGGAAGUAUACGGACUGACACCUGCCCGGUGCCGUAAGGUUAAGGAAGGGGAUAAUUUAGGAAACUAAAGAAGUUCUUGACUGAAGCCCCGGUAAACGGCGGCGGUAACUAUGACCGUCCUAAGGUAGCUUAAUUCCUUGUCGGGUAAGUUCCGACCUGCACGAAUGGUGUAACGAACUGGGUACUGUCUCAACGAGAAGCUCGGUGAAAUUGCAAUAUCAGUGAAGAUGCUGAUUAUCUGUGACAGGACGAAAAGACCCCGGAACCUUUACUAUAGCUUGGUAUUGAAUUUGGGUAAUGUUUGUGUAGAAUAAGUGGGAGACGAAGAAGUAAGGACGUCAGUUUUUAUGGAGUCAAAAGUGAAAUACCACUCUGACUUUAUUGAAAUUCUAAUCUUGAUUCAUAAUGUGGAAAGGAGACAAUGCCUGGCGGGUAGUUUGACUGGGGCGGUCGCCUCCUAAAAUGUAACGGAGGCGCGCAAAGGUUUCCUCAAUACGGUUGGAAAUCGUAUGAAGAGUGUAAAGGCAAAAGGAAGCUUGACUGUAAGAGAGACAUCUCGAACAGAUGCGAAAGCAGGCCUUAGUGAUCCGGCGAUAACGAAUGGAAGUGUCGUCGCGCAACGAAUAAAAGGUACUCCGGGGAUAACAGAGUUAUCUCCCCCAAGAGUUCACAUCGACGGGGAGGUUUGCUACCUCGAUGUCGGCUUAUCGCAUCCUGGGGCUGAAGAAGGUCCCAAGGGUUUGGCUGUUCGCCAAUUAAAGCGCUACGCGAGCUGGGUUCAGAACGUCGUGAGACAGUUUGGUCUCUAUCCGUCACAGGCGUAGGAUAUUUGAGGAGAUCUGCUCCUAGUACGAGAGGACCGGAGUGGGUAUGCCGCUGGUGUACUAGUUGUUUUGCCAGAAGCACAGCUAGGUAGCUAAGCAUAUAAAGGAUAACCGCUGAAAGCAUCUAAGUGGGAAGCCUACUUCAAGACUAGAUAUCCCUGAUUGA